This 1347-nucleotide ribosomal RNA is filed under the name uncultured bacterium. Its description in RNAcentral is "bacterial SSU rRNA". It matches the Rfam family "Bacterial small subunit ribosomal RNA", at positions 28 to 1381 of the family's 1533-position model. The record is from RNAcentral.
GACGAACUCUGGCGGCGUGCUUAACACAUGCAAGUCGAACGGAAAGGCCCUGCUUUUGUGGGGUGCUCGAGUGGCGAACGGGUGAGUAACACGUGAGUAACCUGCCCUUGACUUUGGGAUAACUUCAGGAAACUGGGGCUAAUACCGGAUAGGAGCUCUUGCUGCAUGGUGGGGGUUGGAAAGUUUCGGCGGUUGGGGAUGGACUCGCGGCUUAUCAGCUUGUUGGUGGGGUAGUGGCUUACCAAGGCUUUGACGGGUAGCCGGCCUGAGAGGGUGACCGGCCACAUUGGGACUGAGAUACGGCCCAGACUCCUACGGGAGGCAGCAGUGGGGAAUAUUGCACAAUGGGCGGAAGCCUGAUGCAGCAACGCCGCGUGCGGGAUGACGGCCUUCGGGUUGUAAACCGCUUUCGCCUGUGACGAAGCGUGAGUGACGGUAAUGGGUAAAGAAGCACCGGCUAACUACGUGCCAGCAGCCGCGGUGAUACGUAGGGUGCGAGCGUUGUCCGGAUUUAUUGGGCGUAAAGGGCUCGUAGGUGGUUGAUCGCGUCGGAAGUGUAAUCUUGGGGCUUAACCCUGAGCGUGCUUUCGAUACGGGUUGACUUGAGGAAAGGUAGGGGAGAAUGGAAUUCCUGGUGGAGCGGUGGAAUGCGCAGAUAUCAGGAGGAACACCAGUGGCGAAGGCGGUUCUCUGGGCCUUUCCUGACGCUGAGGAGCGAAAGCGUGGGGAGCGAACAGGCUUAGAUACCUUGGUAGUCCACGCUGUAAACGGUGGGUACUAGGUGUGGGGUCCAUUCCACGGGUUCCGUGCCGUAGCUAACGCUUUAAGUACCCCGCCUGGGGAGUACGGCCGCAAGGCUAAAACUCAAAGGAAUUGACGGGGCCCCGCACAAGCGGCGGAGCAUGCGGAUUAAUUCGAUGCAACGCGUAGAACCUUACCUGGGUUUGACAUGGAUCGGGAGUGCUCAGAGAUGGGUGUGCCUCUUUUGGGGUCGGUUCACAGGUGGUGCAUGCCUGUCGUCAGCUCGUGUCGUGAGAUGUUGGGUUAAGUCCCGCAACGAGCGCAACCCUUGUUCACUGUUGCCAGCACGUUAUGGUGGGGACUCAGUGGAGACCGCCGGGGUCAACUCGGAGGAAGGUGGGGAUGACGUCAAGUCCUCAUGCCCCUUAUGUCCAGGGCUUCACGCAUGCUACAAUGGCUGGUACAGAGAGUGGCGAGCCUGUGAGGGUGAGCGAAUCUCGGAAAGCCGGUCUCAGUUCGGAUUGGGGUCUGCAACUCGACCUCAUGAAGUCGGAGUCGCUAGUAAUCGCAGAUCAGCAACGCUGCGGUGAAUACGUUCCCGGGGCU